Molecule: ribosomal RNA, 85 nt
Filed under: Algoriphagus aestuarii
Lineage: Bacteria; Pseudomonadati; Bacteroidota; Cytophagia; Cytophagales; Cyclobacteriaceae
Also listed under: 1 other name
Description: partial 16S ribosomal RNA
Rfam family: Bacterial small subunit ribosomal RNA
Source: RNAcentral
GGAGCUGUUUAGGGUAGAACCGGUAACUGGGGCUAAGUCGUAACAAGGUAGCCGUACCGGAAGGUGCGGCUGGAACACCUCCUUU